GACGAACCGUGCGAACGUUGUUCGGAUUCACUGGGCUUAAAGGGCGCGUAGGCGGGCUUUCAAGUCGGGGGUGAAAUCCCACAGCUUAACUGUGGAAGUGCCUCCGAUACUGGGAGCCUUGAGGGAGGUAGGGGUGUGUGGAACUUCCGGUGGAGCGGUGAAAUGCGUAGAUAUCGGAAGGAACGCCGGUGGCGAAAGCGACGCACUGGACCUCUUCUGACGCUGAGGCGCGAAAGCUAGGGGAGCAAAC
RNAcentral lists this ribosomal RNA (250 nucleotides) under uncultured bacterium. RNAcentral's name for it is "partial 16S ribosomal RNA". It matches the Rfam family "Bacterial small subunit ribosomal RNA", at positions 524 to 773 of the family's 1533-position model. The record is from RNAcentral.